UACGUAGGGUGCAAGCGUUAUCCGGAAUUAUUGGGCGUAAAGAGCUCGUAGGCGGUCUGUCGCGUCUGCUGUGAAAACUGGGGCUCAACCCCAGCCUGCAGUGGGUACGGGCAGACUAGAGUGCGGUAGGGGAGAUUGGAACUCCUGGUGUAGCGGUGAAAUGCGCAGAUAUCAGGAGGAACACCGAUGGCGAAGGCAGCUCGCUGGGACGGUACUGACGCUGAGGCGCGAAAGCGUGGGGAGCAAACAGG
RNAcentral lists this ribosomal RNA (251 nucleotides) under uncultured bacterium. RNAcentral describes it as "partial 16S ribosomal RNA". It matches the Rfam family "Bacterial small subunit ribosomal RNA", at positions 524 to 776 of the family's 1533-position model. The record is from RNAcentral.